Agrilus planipennis (emerald ash borer) is the source of this 3149-nucleotide long non-coding RNA. RefSeq lists it as uncharacterized. The record is from RefSeq and is a predicted model, not a curated record. NCBI's taxonomy places the organism in Eukaryota, Metazoa, Arthropoda, Insecta, Coleoptera, Buprestidae. The transcript has 3 exons.
UAAAUAGGUAAAAUUCAUAAUACAGGAGCAUUACCAUUCACUAACAGAAUUCGUAGAAAAUCAAAUAUUUAGGUUGUUAGGGGUGUGAUUCAAAUAAUCGGUUAUGUUGUUUCUUCGGCUGACAUCUUCAGUGGAUACUACAUUGACAACAUGGGCGACGUUUUGCAACGACAGGUAUUGACCAGAAUGACGUUCACCCACGCCGUUAACGUAAUAUCCAUUGAAAAUGUCAAUUACAGACAAAACGGCUGGUUCUAACCGUUCAAUUGGGUCGCAACCUAUUAAUAACUGAUUAAGUGUCAAAUAAAAUUCAUAACUGAUGAUACGGUAUAAACAAUAUUAACUUUUAACUUUAACUACCUUACGAUUCUACUAUUCUUUUUAAAAUGUUUCAAAUUAAACAAAUUUGAUUUCUUAAAGAUUAACGAAAAAAGUUAUAGGACAAAGUUGAUCGGAAUACCUAAAUAUGGGGCUAUGCAAAACGCAGCGGCGAUAUUCAAAUGUUUUUUUUUUCGAGUCAAACAGUCCAAAAAAUCCGCAAAUGCUCAUUGCGGUUAAACUGAAGGAUUAAUCGAAAAAUUAGGAAGAAGUUGUUCCGAAUGCCAAAGUAUGUGGCCAUGCACAAAAUCGCAGCGAUAUUCAAAUGUUUUUUUUUUUAGUCAAAUCACUUGAACGAAAUCAAGAAACGUUUUAAUAUCGCCUUUAAUAUCGCCGCAUUAUUUUGAUCAUAUAUGCAGUGUACAAACGAUAAUGAGUUUUUACCUAAAAUUUGCAGCGCCCUGAUGGUAUGUUUUCCAGUUUGUUUUUGAUUAGCAUUAUUAAUUAAGUAGAUAAGCUAACGAUACAAACAAGCUUGAUUGUGUACCAUUGUAUUGUUAGAAUCGAAUUACAACAUAACAACAGCUUCACAUCGGACAGCUUUCAAGUGGGCAUGACAAAAUUAGCAGGCAAAAAUAUACACCAUCCGAUAAUUAGCCGUGGAAGGUAAUAAUUAGCCGCGACGCAGGAAACCCGAAAAUCAGGAAAAAAAUGUAAAAAAGGUUAGGAAAAUCUCACGACAGAUACAACCGGGCACAUAAUUAGGCGUCAAUUAACCGCUGAAAAUGUAAACUACUAAUUUCGGAGUGCGACUGUUUUUACAAAAUAGUGUAAUUUUUCGAUCUUGACAACCCGAUAACCGUUAUAAUAUCCAAUAAGAUUAUAAGCAUCCUAAAUCAUUUGAAUUUUACUGUGAAUAUUUAACAAAUUAGCCGUGAAAGAAAGAAAAAGCCCUGACUCGGGAAACACGGAAACCAGCAUGCAUUGAGUGAUAUUGUAGUAGGCAUUACAAAUAGGGGUUGAAAUUUGCUGUAAAUAUUUAGAAAAUUAACCGUGAAUAAAUAAAAAUAAGCCCCCUCCCGGGAAACCUGACAACCAGGUUACAGGCUAUCUGUAAAUGAAGUCAGCAUACAAAAAACCGUAAAAUCGGUUAGGAAAAUCCUCACUAGUUAGAAUCAGGCUCUUAAUUAGCCGCUAAUUAACCGCUGACGAUGUAGACUACUAAUAAGAGACUUCGGUUUUUACUCAGUAGAUCGGAGUACUACUAAAAAAUAAAUCUAAUUGAAUGAAAAUGAAUUGACAAAUUAUUAGGGCAUUUAAUUAACAUUAUAUUAGCACUUAAUCAUUAGAUACGAUUUGUUCUGCUGACUUUGCUUUGCUACCUUCAUGGACGUAGAAAUCAGAUUCGCUUAUACAGUCACGGAAUUCCCUCCUACGCAACUAUUUCAGAACCACCAUAAAUGGCUAUACUUGGCGAAUAUUGUUGGUUAAUUGUGCUUUUGGGUUAUUAUUAUUAUAUUAUUAUUAUUAUAUUUUGACAUACGGGUUUAAAACUCAUUAUACAUUAUGACAAUAGGCGGCAGUAGCGUUCUAUGAAUUAAAGUUACUCUAAAUUUUAUAAAUAUAUGAAACUAAACAAUAGCUUAGACAAUAUAAAUCAGUUAUAAGCACAUAAAAUAACUAAAUUGCCAUAUAUUUUCAGAUAAGAACUUCUUAAGUUGACCCUAGGUACUGGUAAUAAAAUCUAUAUCCCUUACAAAGGAGUUGGCUGAAUGCAGUGAUAUUAAUAUCGAAAAGUCGUUAGGGCGCAGUCGUCUUGGCGGGGGGGACAUAUAAACUAACGGGAGCAGUGAGAAGAAUUUCAUAAAUUAAGCCUCUCAUAAUACGAAAUGAAAUGUAAGGAUCUGAAUGCUUUUGAACAAAAUUGCUGAUAUGAGACUUAAGUGAGAUUGGAGUUAAAAAUGACAUCAAGGUCAUUUAUUUCAUUGACACGACAAGUGGAGUGUUAUUUAGUUGAUCCCGCUACUGAAUGCCGUAAUCUAUAAGUCGAUACAAACCGAAACAGAAACCGUGAUAAACUUCUCAAGGACUGCAAGAGAAGAAUUCUUAAUAUCGAUCAACUUCUCAUACUCCGACCCAGUUAACAUUGAUGGUGUAGCCUGAUUUGCGAAUGGAUUUUGACUCGAUGGCUCCUCUGGAAAAUAUAUUCAUUCAAUCAUUUUUCAUGAUUUUAACCACAUUUGAGGUAGGCAAAAACCUAUUCGUAACUGUUUUGUUCAACACAUUCAAUCCAGAAGUCAAAUUUGUUUUCUAUCGUUAGAAAGGAUUUUAUAUCUUACUGUAAACGUGGUUGCGGUUCUUCACUAACUAACGGACGUAAAAAUUGAUUUAAUACGUCUAUACGCAUAAUGAUAAUAAAUAAACAAGCAAAAUCACCGAAGAAGCAGGAAUGCACCAAUGAACAACUGUAUCCAAUUUAUUGUAUCUUAUAUUCCUAUCCUAAUUAAAGUUGCCGUAUAAAUGACAUGCUUGUCAGUCUUUCACUGAAUAUCAAAUAUUAAUUAAUUAAAACAAAAGACAAUAACGCCAGCGACUUUGAGUUUGAAGUAAUUUUAAAGUACCUUUAUUGCUUUUUCUUGUUUUAAAACUUACAUUUGACAUUCAGUGAAAGAAUGUAUACGGCAACUUUUCUCAGAAUUGUAUUGUUGUUAAUGUGCAUACAGAAGUAUUCACUCGUAUGAGGUAAAAGUAUGAAGAAGUACACAAAUUCAUAAUUUUAGCAAUCCAUAGAUAUGGUUGCAUAUUUGUAACUACUUUUUAAAUUUCAACAA